Molecule: ribosomal RNA, 686 nt
Filed under: uncultured archaeon
Lineage: Archaea
Description: bacterial SSU rRNA
Rfam family: Archaeal small subunit ribosomal RNA
Source: RNAcentral
ACACGUAGUUAAUCUACCCUUAAGUCAGUGAUAUCCUCGGGAAACUGAGAGUAAACAUUGAUAAGAGACAUACCCUGGAAUGAUUUGUCUCUCAAAUUCGAGCUUAAGGAUGAGACUGCGGCGGAUUAGGUUGUUGGCGGGGUAACUGCCCACCAAGCCGAUGAUCCGUAAGGGCUCUUAGCGGAGGGGCCCUGAGAGGGAAUCUGAGACACUAUUCCCAGCCCUACGGGGUGCAGCAGUUAAGAAUAUUCUUCAAUGCGCGUAAGCGUGAAAGAGCAAGCCAGAGUGCUUUUCUAAGAAAAGCUUUUGCCAAAUGUAAAAAUUUUGGCGAAUAAGGACUGGGUAAGACGGGUGCCAGCCGCCGCGGUAAUACCCGCGGUCCAAGUCGCAGCCAUCAUUAUUGGGUCUAAAACAUCCGUAGCUUGCUUAAUAAGUCUCUUGUGAAAUCUGACGUCUCAAAUGUCAGGCGGGCAAGAGGUACUGUUAAGCUAGAGACUGGUAGACGUAAAGAGUAUGUUCAAAGUAACGGUAAAAUGUGUUAAUCUUGGACAGACUAACAACAGCGAAGGCACUUUACGAGAACAGUUCUGACAGUAAGGGAUGAAGGCUAGGGUCGCGAAAGGGAUUAGAUACCCCUGUAGUCCUAGCAGUAAACACUGCUCACUAAACAUUAGUACCUCCUCGAG